CUACGGGGGGCAGCAGUGGGGAAUAUUGCACAAUGGAGGAAGCUCUGAUGCAGCAACGCCGCGUGGAGGAUGACACUUUUCGGAGCGUAAACUCCUUUUAUAUAGGAAGAAGAUGACGGUACUAUAUGAAUAAGCGCCGGCUAACUCCGUGCCAGCAGCCGCGGUAAUACGGAGGGCGCAAGCGUUACUCGGAAUCACUGGGCGUAAAGAGCGUGUAGGCGGAUUAAAAAGUCAGAAGUGAAAUCCUAUAGCUUAACUAUAGAACUGCUUCUGAAACUCUUAAUCUAGAAUAUGGGAGAGGUAGAUGGAAUUUCUGGUGUAGGGGUAAUAUCCGUAGAGAUCAGAAGGAAUACCGAUUGCGAAGGCGAUCUACUAGAACAUUAUUGACGCUGAGACGCGAAAGCGUGGGGAGCAAACAGGAUUAGAUACCCUAGUAGUC
RNAcentral lists this ribosomal RNA (439 nucleotides) under uncultured bacterium. RNAcentral's name for it is "partial 16S ribosomal RNA". It matches the Rfam family "Bacterial small subunit ribosomal RNA", at positions 339 to 795 of the family's 1533-position model. The record is from RNAcentral.